GGGUAGUGUCCUCGGGGCUGUGCGGCUCGCGCUUGCAUAACGCCGGCGCGGGGCACGAGCGGAGUUGAAUCUGUAAAAAGCGCACUUUGUUUUUGCGUCGUGAAGUCCGGGGAAACCACGCACAGCCGCAGUAUGACAGGGAAAGUAAAGCUGUAUUAUUUCGAUGGAAGAGGGAAAAUGGAAUCCAUUAGGUGGCUGUUAGCAGUUGCUGGCGUGGAGCUUGUGCCCCUUCGACCAGAAAUGCAUCUACAGGUGGAGAAAACUGCUUAGUUCCCUUUACAGUGUGAACAAAAAAGACAACAAACUACCAACACCAAAACACAGAAAUUAAAAUGCAAACGAAAACAAAUCCAAAACUGAAAAAGUUUUCAAGGAAUAAUUUCCGAAGUGAAAAGCUUACUGGUUCUGAUUGGUGUACUUUUCUCACCACAGGCCAUGUCUUGCCAAUUUGUGGUGCUCAUCGUAAUGAGACCAUCGUUCUCUCUGCUCCAGAUAUGCCAAAUUGCUUCUUUCUUCCUUUAUACAUGCCGGACAUGUUGU
Molecule: non-coding RNA, 540 nt
Organism: Lepisosteus oculatus (spotted gar)
Lineage: Eukaryota; Metazoa; Chordata; Actinopteri; Semionotiformes; Lepisosteidae
Source: RefSeq, a predicted model, not a curated record